Molecule: ribosomal RNA, 407 nt
Filed under: uncultured bacterium
Lineage: Bacteria
Description: partial 16S ribosomal RNA
Rfam family: Bacterial small subunit ribosomal RNA
Source: RNAcentral
GACGAACGCUGGCGGCGUGCCUAAUACAUGCAAGUAGAACGCAGUUGCGAACGGGUGAGUAACGCGUAGGUAACUGCCUGGUAGAGGGGGAUAACUAUUGGAAACGAUAGCUAAUACCGCAUACUACCAGAUGGCCCUGCGUUGUAUUAGCUAGUUGGUGGGGUAAUGGCCAACCAAGGCAACGAUACAUAGCCGACCGUAGAGGGUGAUCGGCCACACUGGGACUGAGACACGGCCCAGACUCCUAAGGGAGGCAGCAGUAGGGAAGUGUCGGCAAUGGGGGGAACCCUGACCGAGCAACGCCGCGUUAGUGAAGAAGGUUUUCGGAUCGUAAAGCUCUGUUGUUAAGGAAGCGGUACUUAACCAGAAAGGGACGGCUAACUACGUGCCAGCAGCCGCGGUAAUAC